This 823-nucleotide ribosomal RNA is filed under the name Coptotermes testaceus. RNAcentral describes it as "partial 16S ribosomal RNA". The stretch from base 436 to 596 matches the Rfam family "Archaeal large subunit ribosomal RNA", at positions 1884 to 2089 of the family's 2987-position model. The record is from RNAcentral. Lineage: Eukaryota; Metazoa; Arthropoda; Insecta; Blattodea; Rhinotermitidae.
UUCCCGAUUUUAAAGGAGUUAAUGAUUUAUUUUAGUUGCUGUUUCAUUAGUAUUAAUGAUAGGUCGUUGGCAGUGAGAUGUUAUUCGUUUUUAGUGGUUUCUGGUUUUUCAAGAAAUGAAUUUAAUUCAUGCGUCUUGUUUAGGGUUUUACUGUUGUUUAUUUUUCUUUAUUGGGCGUUAAGAUUAAGGGGGAUUAGCUCCUUGUUUUGUUUUUAUAAUUUUUGUGUGAAUUUAGUUUUGUGGAUUUUAUGGUGAUUUUCAAUUUGAUUAUGUUAAAAUUUUAUUUAUUUCUUUCUUUAUUUUGUUUUAUUUAAUUAUUUAUUGGAAUGUUUUCUUUGCUUUGUUUUGGAUUGUAAUUAUUGUGGAAUUAGUAAAUUUGUUUGUUAUGUUGUUUGUAUUUCUGUUUAAUUUCUUUUGAGGAAUUAGGCAAAUUUUGUGUCCGCCUGUUUAACAAAAACAUCUUUUCUUGUUAGUUUUUGAAGUAUGGCCUGCCCGCUGACUUGAGUGUUGAAGGGCCGCGGUAUUUUGACCGUGCAAAGGUAGCAUAAUCAUUAGUUCUUUAAUUGUGAUCUGGAAUGAAUGGCUUGACGAGGCACUGGCUGUCUUAGUGAUGGAUGUUUUAUUGAAUUUGGUCUUUGAGUUAAAAUUCUUAGAUGUUUUUAUGGGACGAGAAGACCCUAUAGAGUUUAACAUUUGGCUUAUUUAUUUUAUAUUGUUCGUUUUGUUUUUAGUGAGUGGGCUUUUUGUUUUGUUGGGGUGAUGAGAGGAAUAUAAUUUAACUCCUCUUGGUUUUUAGGUUAUAUUGAUUUAUAGUUGUUUGAUC